RNAcentral lists this transfer RNA (58 nucleotides) under Dipodomys ordii (Ord's kangaroo rat). It matches the Rfam family "tRNA", at positions 8 to 63 of the family's 71-position model. From Rfam's summary of the family: Transfer RNA (tRNA) molecules are approximately 80 nucleotides in length. Their secondary structure includes four short double-helical elements and three loops (D, anti-codon, and T loops). Further hydrogen bonds mediate the characteristic L-shaped molecular structure. tRNAs have two regions of fundamental functional importance: the anti-codon, which is responsible for specific mRNA codon recognition, and the 3' end, to which the tRNAs corresponding amino acid is attached (by aminoacyl-tRNA synthetases). tRNAs cope with the degeneracy of the genetic code in two manners: having more than one tRNA (with a specific anti-codon) for a particular amino acid; and 'wobble' base-pairing, i.e. permitting non-standard base-pairing at the 3rd anti-codon position. The record is from Rfam by way of RNAcentral. Lineage: Eukaryota; Metazoa; Chordata; Mammalia; Rodentia; Heteromyidae.
UAGCUCAGUGGUAGAGUGCUUGCCUUACAUGCAUGAGGCCCUGGGUUCAAUUCCUCAG